Molecule: long non-coding RNA, 3718 nt
Organism: Cavia porcellus (domestic guinea pig)
Lineage: Eukaryota; Metazoa; Chordata; Mammalia; Rodentia; Caviidae
Exons: 2
Source: RefSeq, a predicted model, not a curated record
UCGCUUCCCCAGUGAAUUUGCCUGCUAAAAAUAGAUGAGCAAUUGUCUGAAACUACAAGAGAGCCAAGAUGAUGCAAAGGCUCUGUGGGAAAUCUAUGCCAUGGAUAGAGAGCCAGCCUAGAUGCAAGAGGACCCAGGUCCACAGAAGGAAGUGGCCGCCUACCCACAGUUUCUAAACGAUGAUGUCCAACUUUAAUGAACAAUUCAGAAAAAAAAAGUAGAAGGCUUCUGUGUUAGUCAGCUUUCCAUCACUGUGACAGAAUGCCUGAAAAUAACCUACAGGUUUUUCUUGGCUCUUGGUGUCAGAAGUUUUAGUCUGCAGCAGGCUGGCUGUUUUGCUGCCAGGCCUGUGCCCAGGCAAAAACACACAGCAGAAGAGCUGGGCAGAAGAAAGGUGCAUCCUUCAUAGCAGCCAGGCAGCUCAGAAGGUGAGAGAGCCAGAGGAGAAGGAGUGGGGACCCGACGCAGCCCCCAGCACUGUGCCCAGUGAUCGCUCUCCUCAGUUGUCCUAUUUCCUGUUCUCUCCUCAAAGUGCCAUGCAAUUAACAGUUUAUCAGUGGGCUAAUCCACUGAUGAAGUUAGAAACCUCACCAUGAUCCAGUCACCUUCUAAAAGCUCAUUGGCUGGCAGCUAAGCCCCCACCCUCCCCAGCCACUCCGCUUUGGGGGACUUUUUAUAUUCAGAUCACUAUAGCUUUUGAUGCUGUGCAAGACUGAUCAACUCAUUUCUGUUGAAAUAUUGCUUUUUUGUGGUUGUGGCAUGCUCAGUGGGAUCCUUAGAUAAACAGCCCUGGAAAAGACAAAAAGGAAAAGCACAGGUGUGGAGGCAUCAAAGGAGCCUCUUGAGGCUGCUGUUCUGCAGUGAACCACAGCCCCAGUUACUUAGGCCCUGCCUGGAUUACUGUUCCUGGGAGCCUCUCCUCUGAGGGUUUGCGUCUCUGCUGUAAGACAUAAUCUUCCAUAUAACUCGGAUUCUUAAUUAUGCAGUCUUCAAAAUAGAUAUAGAAAAAAAUUCAGUAAAACGAUCUGUAUUCUUUUAUGGAAAAAAAUUAGAUUCUACACGUUUUCAGUUUGAGUUAGCAUGAUGACCCACAGGGGUUUACCCGCGGAGGGAAACACCCUGGGUCCCUCUGUGCAGCCAGUAAUUGCAUCCUGCUCUUUAUCUCAUUCAUUAGAGGUUAACUAAUUAGCACCCAGCUGGCUCUAUUUUUAACUAAUUCAUUUCUCUGUCUUCUCUCCUUGGCGCUCAAUGUUGUAGUGUGUCCUAGACCCUAACCCAUUUAUCUUGUGUUUUCUCCUAGACUCUAGCACCCUCAAUCUCCUCACUGAGUAACUGAGUAACAAGAUUUGUCUUCCUUUCUAGAUGACCCAAGGACCACCUGGAUACCACUUUGGGUCUGAACCGUAUUUUCUCUAGAUUUGCUCUAGUUUGGCACCUUGAAAAAGGGCACAGGAUGUGCAGCCUAACAUAUGUGGGUUUUGAUACCAGCCUGGUCAUUGAAGGUCAGUUCUGACCUUCAAUUUCCCCAUUUUUCUAGUGGGUAUAUUACUGACAGCAUCAAGAUCAAUGUUUCAUUCAACAAAACUUAUUUCCUUUCUCCUGCGUAAUUUUUUUAAUGUUAAAAAAAUGUGAACUAAGUGGGGUGCACGUGUUUAAAUAUUGCAUUGUCUGUCUGGCGUGAGAAAGUGAAAGUAUAAAUGAGGGCUAAAAUGUGUAAUAGAUACUGGGAAAUGGGAACAAAAUGUUCAAAUGAGAAAGGGAACGAGGGGGGAAGGGCAUAGGAAACAAAAAUGGGAACGAACUUUUUGUAAAUAAGCAAGGGAAUUGGGGUUGAAGGGAGGAGAAAGGAAUGGAAAAAAAAGAAGCAAGUUAUAUGAUGUACAGGGACAAACUCCCUAUGAUAAACAUGAUCAUUACAUGUAUCUAACAUGUACCAAUAAAAUUAAAACAUGCAAAAAAGUAAAUUUGCACUGAACGGUAAAAUAAAAUUAAAACAAAAGCUAAGAGAUAUUUUUGAGGGACCACUUCUGGUUCAUCCAUUAUUCUCUCUACAAAAUGUAGGUGGCAAAAUUAAAAAUUCAUUGGAACACACAGGUGGGUUUUGUGUCGUGAAGGCAGGUUGCUCCGUUGGCCCAGCGGCUGGCCUCGCUGUUUGCCCGAGUGUUUUCUUGGUCAACGUAACAUGAAAAGCUUCUGUGUUCUUUCUGCUGCUUCCCAUCAUCCUGGGCUGCCCCAUUCUCCCAGUCCCCUUGACUUGACACCAUGCCAACCACAUUUUAUUGCGAUUGUUUUGGAGACAGGGUCUUGCUGUGUAGUCCAGGAUGACCUCAAACUCACAGCAACCCUCCAUCCUCAGCUCCUGAGUGCUGAGAUUAUAACCUUGUGCACCAUGCCCGCUUCAUACCACCCACAUAAUCCCAGCACAAAUCUCAGGGUCUCAGAGAAACCUGUGGCCACUCCUUUCUUCUAAUUUUUCUCCGGCCCUUACUGCCUUUCACAUUAAUUUCUUACCAUUUCUUGCACAGUGAUUGUCUUUUCCAGCACUGUGUGAGAAACGUCCUUGAUGCAGUGGUGAUUACAAAAAGGCCGUCAGACCGAAUUAAGGUGCGCAGGUCCCACGGUUGAUUGAAUCACUUAAAAACCACCAGUGUUUCCAAGGGGAAAGAUGGGAGGGAGGGAGGCAAACCCACACAGGUUAGGGUGCAAAUGAGGGGAAGAACCACUGCCUGAUGGCCAGUGCCUCACUGUCCAUCUGAGCACUCCAGCUUUUCCUAUUCACAGGCUACUUAUGCUACAAACAUGGAGGUUUGAACAAGGAGGUCUGCAGAGGAAACUGCCUGGAGCCGAAGCAGUCUUCUCCAUCAGAAAAAUGACAGGCGAGUACGCCCAGUCAAAUAGCGCCUCACUAAGCAGCCAUGGGUUUCUCUGUGUGUAGGCAAAGCAUAUGUCAGGCCAGAUGAGGGCCUAAUGGUGUCACCAAUGGAGGCUGACUUGGGGAUAACGUAGCGGUCUCACUAGAUGCGGCACAAUCCAUUCUUUGUAUGACCUGGCCCUUCUGUCUUUUCUGUCCACCAGCAACAUCUUCAUCCUUUUCAAAAAAGUACACAACAUAAAAGUCACCGUUUUAAGCAUAUUUAAGUACAAUGUGGUAGUACUAAUUCAUUCUUGAUGUUGUAUAACCAUCGCUACUAUCCAUGUCCACAAUUUUUUCAUUGUGUCAAACAGAAUGUGUGAUGCAUUAAACAAUAACUCUUCAUUUCUCCUGGCCUUGAGUCCCUGGCAUCCUGUGUUCUUUCUGUCUGUAUUAUUUUGCCUUCUCUAGGUACCUGAUUUAAGUGGAAUUGCACAGUAAUUGUCCUUUUGUGUCUGGCUUACUUCAUUCACCAGAAUGUUUUCUAGGUUCAUGUUGUAGCAUGUUUCAGAAUUCCAUUCCUUUAAGGCUGACUAAUAUUACAUGUAUAUUACUUCGCUGAUUCACUUGCUUGAUGACCAUGAUGAUGUGGUUGCUUCUACAUUUUGGCUAUCAUGAAUUAUGCUUCUAUGACCACUGGCUUACAAUUGCUGGAUCAUUUGAUUAACUCUGUGUUUAACUUUUUUGAGAAACCACUUCUUUCAUCUUUUUAAAAAUCUAUGUUCUACACUCAUGUGUUCUAUGUGGUUUUCGUGAUUAGAAUUAUUUUUCUGUUAUUUUGUAGUAGAAUUAAAUGCCCUGAAAAUA